UCGGAGAUCCUGCCUCUCCCAGACCAGCGCCAGCGGGGAGGCCCAGGCUGCAGAGGAACACCCCAAUUCUCCGCGACCCCGCAGCCGGGACACUCGCGGGGCCUGGGGUCCCCUCCUCCCCCACAGUCCCCGCCCAGCCCUGGUCCAGCCUGUGGAGAGAGGGAAAGGCUGCGGGUGGCGCCGCAACACUCCCGCCUCAAGGAGCAGUCCCUACCGGCCUAUGACGGGGUGGAAGGACGCGAAGGCCUUACCUGCUUUAUGUACAUGAUUCCGGGCCCCUGGCCUGGAAGGAGACUUGCCCGGGAGCAGCGACCGCCCGGCUGCACGGUCAGAUACCUGGGAGACAUUGCAAGACCUCUUUGGGGACCUUAGCAUCGCAGAAGUUCUACAGUUCUACAGCUGCAAGUAAUGGAUUCUGCCAAAUCCAGGGAGCUUGGAAAAGGUUCUAAGGCUCAGAUGAAACUGCAGCCUGGCUAACACCUUGAUUUCAGUCUGAUGCUACCUGAGCAGAGGGCUGUUACCUGUGCCCAGACUUCUGGCCAUAUUUCAAAAAAUUUCUGAGGCUGUAGACUCUUUCACACAACAACAAUGUAGUUGGUGCAGUAAAAUAUCUGGUGCUAUAAAGACUCCAAAGACAGCAAAGGUGAGGUACAGGGCAAGGGCAAAGUGCACAUAUGAUGUACCUUGAUGUCAUAGUUUCUCAUUGCCCUCCUUAUCUCCCCUAUACUGCUAAGAGAUUCCAGUCUCAUGAAUAUGAAAGAGAUACCUCACUAUUGCCCAGUUCCUAUUCAGUUCUCAUGGUACCCAAGAGAUAGAGCUGGCACCCCAGAGAUGUUCCCAAAUUAUAGUUCUGUCUUGGUGAUGCCUGGGACUGUCAAAUCACCCAAGAGAAAACCUAGGACACUCCCAUCUUGGAAGAUGGAAGAAGAACAUUUGUGAGAAGGUGGGAUUUAGAAAAGAGAGACACACUCUUUCAUUGCUUCUGCCACAGAAGAGAGAUAACUAGGAGAUGUUGCAAGACCUCUUUUGGGACGUUAGAGAAAAACCUUACAGAGGAGCCUUUUCAGAUACUUGUAACAAGCCCCCAGAACUAAAGACUGGACUCUUAUACCUCACAGGAAAUACAGGUCCUCAGCCCUCCACUGAAUGAUGCCAGGAAAAUUGUCAUUAUUGGAAAAACCUGGUGAUUUUAAAAAGAAGUGCCCAAGAAACUCUCAAUAACCUUCAUUUUGCUUCUCUACUUAAAAUUAACUUUGUGCCACCAUAAUCUUCAAAUUUUUAUUUUUAAAAACUCAAUUCUCAUAUGAGCAUGUGUCAUAGUUUGAUUUAACUUAUUAAUGAGGGAAUCACUAAAAUGACAAAGCUGGUUUAGAAGAGAAUGUAAGAAACUCAAAUUUACACAGGUGUUAGAAAAAAAGAGUGCUGAAAUAUUAUUCCUAGGUUAGACACAAAACUAGUAAAUAUUCUACAGGGUGAUAAACUAUAACCUUUAAGGUUAUCUUUUUCUAAAGGUCAAAAGAAAUUCAUCAUAUCGUAUCAGUUUUCUUCCAUUUUCUACAGCAUUGUAAACCAUCUGGGCCUUAAACAAUUGUGAAUACUAAGUCAUUAAUUAUAUUGAAAGGACUUGCAAAUUUUUGUUGUUGUAGUUCCAGGUUUUGCAUUACUUUUCUGAAUAAGGACCUUGAGAAUAAAAGAAAAGUUAGAGAGAAAAUUCUUGGUGACCUUAAACAUUCUCUAAAAGCUAAAGACCAAACCCUUUUACCCUUAGAGAGGGUUACAAGCAUUCUCUCUCCACUGACCUAAUCACAGUAGGAAAAUCGCAACUAUUACGAAAAACUGAUCAUUGGAAAAAUAAUUGACUGAAUAAAUGGGUAAUCCUCCAUAUAUUGCUCUUAUACUUGUACCAAAUCCUCACAGCCUUCAUAUUCCAUAUAAAUGCAAUCACAAAAUA
Non-coding RNA from Macaca mulatta (Rhesus monkey), 1951 nucleotides. The record is from RefSeq and is a predicted model, not a curated record. Lineage: Eukaryota; Metazoa; Chordata; Mammalia; Primates; Cercopithecidae.